AUGAAAAUAAUGCAACAAACUGCUCACGGGGGAACCUAGGCUUAUUGCUACUUUGGUGGCUUCUGAGUUUGCCAGAGCAAAUGUAACAGUUUUUCCACUUUAAUUGGAUUUAUUUCCGAGUCCCAUUUGCCAUCCCUUCCUCCUCCCACCAGUAAGACCAAAGGAAGCUAAUUUUAGAUGCAUUUGCCCGGAGAAGGACAGGCUGCAGUAUCUGGAGGUCUAAGGUUUGGAGUUAUCUUCUGGGGUGAUCGUGGUAUUUGAAAUUUGUAAAAUUCAUGCUCUCUCAGUUGCUGUAGCCAUACUACUGCCUGGUGAACCAAAACUGCUCAUGGGUAUUAUUACUUGGUAGAUGCU
This 354-nucleotide long non-coding RNA is filed under the name Bos taurus (domestic cattle). RNAcentral's name for it is "long non-coding RNA NONBTAT001905". Lineage: Eukaryota; Metazoa; Chordata; Mammalia; Artiodactyla; Bovidae. The record is from RNAcentral.